Molecule: long non-coding RNA, 802 nt
Filed under: Felis catus (domestic cat)
Lineage: Eukaryota; Metazoa; Chordata; Mammalia; Carnivora; Felidae
Description: lncRNA (ENSFCAG00000053303.1)
Source: RNAcentral
GCAGGAAGCACCUUAAUUUGUACCAAUUCUGUGUCCGAAAAUAGUAUCUCGUGGUUUGCAUUCACAUCGUCUCCGGGUUUUACUGGAUGUUGUGUUUCUUUCUCUACGAGCUGCCAGGUAGCUCUUAGAACUAACUGGAACUGACUUCUUUCUUGCCAUUUGCUCCGGGAAGCCCUCUCCGGAGGACAGUCCUCCCUUCCCCGGCUUCCGGUUAGGCCGGAGCCCCGACGCGGCGCCCGCUGCUGGAGUUGACCUCGUCUUAGCCACGCUGUAUUGUGAGCUGCCUAUUUUCAGGUCACGCUGUGCCAGACUGAUGCCAACACCCAAGGCCAUGCUUCUUGGAGUUUCUCAACAAAUAUGUUUAAUGCCGGUGAAAGGAGGAAGGUGAGUGCAUACAUUUAACCUGCUUUGAAGAGGUUACUAAACCCCAGCUUCGUCAUCCUGCAUUAUCCUCAUAAAAUUGGCAUAUGAACACCUGCCCCACAGAGAUGCCCAACUACAGUCUUCUUAUAUUUUUAAGCUGUCUUUUAUCUUAUCUUUAUCAGAUAAAACACCUACUAUCAGGCCGCCUGGGUGGCUCAGCCGGUUAAGGGUUAAGCAUCUGACUUGAUUUAGGUUCAGGUCAUGAUGUCAUAGUCGUGGGAUUGAGCCCCAUGUCGGGCUCUGCAGUGACAGUGCAGAGCCUGCUUGGGAUUCUGUCUCUUCCUUUCUCUCUGGCCCUCCCCUGUUCGUGCUCUCUCUCUCUCUCUCUCUCUGCCUCCCCUCAAAAUAAAUAAAUAAACAUUAAGAAAAAAGAUAAACA